UACGAAGGGUGCGAGCGUUAUUCGGAAUUAUUGGGCGUAAAGGGUGCGCAGGCGGCACGAUAAGUCACUAGUUAAAGACCCCGGCCUAACUGGGGAAAAGCGGUUGAUACUAUCAUGCUAGAGAUUGGAAGAGAGAAGCGGAAUUCUUGGAGUAGCGGUAAAAUGCGUAGAUCUCAAGAGGAACACCAAUGGCGAAGGCAGCUUCUUAGUCCAUUUCUGACGCUCAUGCACGAAAGCGUGGGGAGCAAACAGG
Molecule: ribosomal RNA, 253 nt
Filed under: uncultured organism
Description: partial 16S ribosomal RNA
Rfam family: Bacterial small subunit ribosomal RNA
Source: RNAcentral